AAAACUUUCAACAACGGAUCUCUUGGUUCUGGCAUCGAUGAAGAACGCAGCGAAAUGCGAUAAGUAAUGUGAAUUGCAGAAUUCAGUGAAUCAUCGAAUCUUUGAACGCACAUUGCGCCCGCCAGUAUCCUGGCGGGCAUGCCUGUCCGAGCGUCAUUACAA
This 162-nucleotide ribosomal RNA is filed under the name uncultured Trichoderma. Its description in RNAcentral is "5.8S ribosomal RNA". It matches the Rfam family "5.8S ribosomal RNA". From Rfam's summary of the family: 5.8S ribosomal RNA (5.8S rRNA) is a component of the large subunit of the eukaryotic ribosome. It is transcribed by RNA polymerase I as part of the 45S precursor that also contains 18S and 28S rRNA. Functionally, it is thought that 5.8S rRNA may be involved in ribosome translocation. Lineage: Eukaryota; Fungi; Ascomycota; Sordariomycetes; Hypocreales; Hypocreaceae. The record is from RNAcentral.